Molecule: ribosomal RNA, 486 nt
Filed under: uncultured bacterium
Lineage: Bacteria
Description: bacterial SSU rRNA
Rfam family: Bacterial small subunit ribosomal RNA
Source: RNAcentral
GACGAACGCUGGCGGCGUGCUUAUCACAUGCAAGUCGAACGAGGUCCACUGCGUAGCAAUACAAGGGAAGACCUAGUGGCGAACGGGUGCGUAACACGUGAGGAACUUGUCCCGGUCUCUGGGAUAACAGUUGGAAACGACUGCUAAUACCGGAUGACGUCGGAAUCUCGCAUGGGAUACUGACGAAAGGGUUACUGGAUCGGGAGAGCCUCGCGGCCUAUCAGCUUGUUGGUGAGGUAACGGCUCACCAAGGCAUCGACGGGUAGCUGGUCUGAGAGGAUGAUCAGCCACACUGGGACUGAGACACGGCCCAGACUCCUACGGGAGGCAGCAGUGGGGAAUCUUGCGCAAUGGGCGAAAGCCUGACGCAGCAACGCCGCGUGCGGGAAGAAGGCCCUUGGGUUGUAAACCGCUUUCAGUAGGAACGAAAAUGACGGUACCUGCAGAAGAAGGUGCGGCCAACUACGUGCCAGCAGCCGCGGUAAU